Molecule: ribosomal RNA, 272 nt
Filed under: uncultured Eubacteriales bacterium
Lineage: Bacteria; Bacillati; Bacillota; Clostridia; Eubacteriales
Description: uncultured Clostridiales bacterium partial 16S ribosomal RNA
Rfam family: Bacterial small subunit ribosomal RNA
Source: RNAcentral
ACGAUGCCCCUUCGGGGACAAAGUCAGUGGCGGACGGGUGAGUAACACGUGGGCAACCUGCCUUAUAGAGGGGAAUAGCCUUCCGAAAGGGAGAUUAAUACCGCAUAAGAUUGUAGUAUCGCAUGGUACAGCAAUUAAAGGAGCAAUCCGCUAUGAGAUGGGCCCGCGUCUGAUUAGCUAGUUGGUGAGGUAAUGGCCCACCAAGGCGACGAUCGGUAGCCGGACUGAGAGGUUGAACGGCCACAUUGGGACUGAGACACGGCCCAGACUCC